CCUACGGGAGGCAGCAGUGGGGGAUAUUGCACAAUGGGGGGAACCCUGAUGCAGCGACGCCGCGUGGGUGAAGAAGCGCCUCGGCGCGUAAAGCCCUGUCAGCAGGGAAGAAAAUGACGGUACCUGAAGAAGCAGCCCCGGCUAACUACGUGCCAGCAGCCGCGGUAAUACGUAGGGGGCAAGCGUUAUCCGGAGUUACUGGGUGUAAAGGGGGCGCAGACGGCGAUGCAAGCCAGGAGUGAAAUACCUAGAGCUUAACUCAGGUGCUGCUUCUAAAACUGCUAUACUUGAGUGCAGUAGAGGAAAGUGGAAUUCCUAGUGUAGCGGUGGAAUGCGUAGAUAUUAGGAGGAACAUCAGUGGCGAAGGCGACUUUCUGGACUGUAACUGACGCUGAGGCACGAAAGUGUGGGGAGCAAACAGGAUUAGAUACCCGUGUAGUC
Molecule: ribosomal RNA, 441 nt
Filed under: uncultured bacterium
Lineage: Bacteria
Description: partial 16S ribosomal RNA
Rfam family: Bacterial small subunit ribosomal RNA
Source: RNAcentral